This is a long non-coding RNA of Pongo pygmaeus (Bornean orangutan), 973 nucleotides long. RefSeq lists it as uncharacterized. Lineage: Eukaryota; Metazoa; Chordata; Mammalia; Primates; Hominidae. The transcript has 3 exons. The record is from RefSeq and is a predicted model, not a curated record.
GGCCGCUCGGCCCUGCGCCCGGGCACGGCGGCGGCGGCUCCGCUCGCCCCGGGAGGGAGCCCGCGGCCAGGGCUGGACUCUCGCCCCGCCACCUCCACCGACUCUCUCCUCAGCCUCCACACCUGGCACCCCAGCAAGGAUAAUUCACCUCCCACCAGUUCCACAUUUUGGCAACUUUAUCAUUUUGGACCAAUGUGCAUUUGACCUUUCCCCCGGCCGUUCUUCAUCUUGUGGAGAAGCUGAGGACGGGCUGAGGGAACCGGAGACCGAGAAGGCGCUGUCCUCUUCACUGCACACGCCCUGGACCAGUGCCGGCACUGAUCAUGCAGCUCUUCCAGGCCCACUGCUUCUUCCUGUCCACUAGGCCACAGCCGCCCUCCAGGCCCACUAUGCACACAUCUUCCCCUCCAAGGUUUGUUCUGCCCCUGCCCUGACUCCCAGCCCUGCGGGGGUCCUGACCCCACCUCACCUGGCUCAGACUCUGACGCUGCCCUGGCUGCCCUACCACUGCCUCUGCCCGAGAGUCACGUGAGGCUGACAGUAGGGGCAGGGGCAGCAGUGGUUCCAGUUGGGGGGCGGUCCAGUGGGAGGAGCCUCAGCCUCGCGGGCUGCUCUGUGGGAUUGAUGACUGCAUGAUCUUCUGGGCACCUCACGGAUCUUCAACUGCAGAUGAAAUGGAUGCUGGUGGUGGGUGCAGGGCCGCUAGGAGCUGCUGCAUGGGUCCCAGAGGCUGGACUGGGGCAGGUGCCAACUGAAGCUGCUGGGGCAGCAUGGGCAGGAUGUUCUGCACACAAACCUUGGAGAAGAAGAUGUGUGCAUAGCGGGUCCACUGCUGCUGCCCCUGCCCUGACUCCCAGCCCUGCCUGACCCCAUCUCACCCUGCUCAGGCUCUGGCGCAACCCUGGCUGCCCUGCCACUGCCUCUGCCCCAGAGUUGGGGCCUCGACAGCCUGGCUGGAAGGGGACACCCCAGC